This 421-nucleotide ribosomal RNA is filed under the name uncultured bacterium. RNAcentral describes it as "bacterial SSU rRNA". It matches the Rfam family "Bacterial small subunit ribosomal RNA", at positions 107 to 518 of the family's 1533-position model. The record is from RNAcentral.
UGAGUAACGCGUAUCCAACCUGGCCCUUAGUAGGGGAUAGCCCGGCGAAAGUCGGAUUAAUACCCUAUGUUUUCCUAUGAGGACAUCUGAGCAGGAACAAAGAUUUAUCGCUAAGGGAUGGGGAUGCGUCUGAUUAGCUUGUCGGCGGGGUAACGGCCCACCGAGGCGACGAUCAGUAGGGGUUCUGAGAGGAAGGUCCCCCCACAUUGGUACUGAGACACGGACCAAACUCCUACGGGAGGCAGCAGUGAGGAAUAUUGGUCAAUGGGCGAGAGCCUGAACCAGCCAAGUAGCGUGCAGGAUGAACCUGUCCCUAGUGGGUUAGUAAACUGUCUUUUAUGGCGGGAAUAAAGUGCAUCACGUGUGGUGUUUUGUAUGUACCGCAUGAAUAAGGACCGGCUAAUUCCGUGCCAGCCGCAGC